UACGGGGGGGGCAAGCGUUGUUCGGAAUUACUGGGCGUAAAGGGCCAGUAGGCGGCCAACUAAGUCGGAUGUGAAAUCCCCAGGCUUAACCUGGGAACUGCAUCCGAUACUGGAUGGCUUGAAUUCGGGAGAGGGAUGCAGAAUUCCAGGUGUAGCGGUGAAAUGCGUAGAUAUCUGGAGGAAUACCGGUGGCGAAGGCGGCAUCCUGGACCGACAUUGACGCUGAACGGCGAAAGCUAGGGGAGCAAACGGGAUUAGAUACCCCCGUAGUCC
This 273-nucleotide ribosomal RNA is filed under the name uncultured bacterium. Its description in RNAcentral is "partial 16S ribosomal RNA". It matches the Rfam family "Bacterial small subunit ribosomal RNA", at positions 524 to 796 of the family's 1533-position model. The record is from RNAcentral.